This 252-nucleotide long non-coding RNA is filed under the name Vigna radiata. Its description in RNAcentral is "long non-coding RNA (VRAD_LNC002464)". The record is from RNAcentral. Lineage: Eukaryota; Viridiplantae; Streptophyta; Magnoliopsida; Fabales; Fabaceae.
GGUGGAGCACAUGGUUUCUGUGGGUAAACACUAAUGAAUGGAAUUAAUUAAGCUUGGAGAAAUGUGAAGUUUAGGCGUAGAGCACCACACAACAAAUAGCUGGUGGGCACAAAUGAAAGGGAAUAGAGAUAAAAUUGCGUACACGCAAUGGGUGCACAACCUCUUCAUCAGGUGCUUCCCCUUCUAACACACUAACCAAUAACCUAUGUGUGGGAAAUGCAAAUUCAAUAGAAACGCAUAUUUCGUCCCACC